RNAcentral lists this ribosomal RNA (465 nucleotides) under uncultured bacterium. RNAcentral's name for it is "partial 16S ribosomal RNA". It matches the Rfam family "Bacterial small subunit ribosomal RNA", at positions 29 to 507 of the family's 1533-position model. The record is from RNAcentral.
ACGCACGCUGGCGGUGUGCUUAACACAUGCAAGUCGAACGGUAAGGCCCUUUCGGGGGUACACGAGUGGCGAACGGGUGAGUAACACGUGAGUAACCUGCCCUCAUCUCUGGGAUAACAGUCGGAAACGGUUGCUAAUACUGGAUAUGAGCUUGCAAGGCAUCUUGUGGGUUGGAAAGAUUUUUUUGGUUGGGGAUGGACUCGCGGCCUAUCAGCUUGUUGGUGAGGUAGUGGCUCACCAAGGCUUCGACGGGUAGCCGGCCUGAGAGGGCGACCGGCCACAUUGGGACUGAGAUACGGCCCAAACUCCUACGGGAGGCAGCAGUGGGGAAUAUUGCACAAUGGACGGAAGUCUGAUGCAGCAACGCCGCGUGCGGGAUGACGGCCUUCGGGUUGUAAACCGCUUUCAAUUGUGACGAAGCUUUUUGUGACGGUAGCAGUAGAAGAAGCACCGGCUAACUACGUG